Molecule: long non-coding RNA, 1018 nt
Filed under: Danio rerio (zebrafish)
Lineage: Eukaryota; Metazoa; Chordata; Actinopteri; Cypriniformes; Danionidae
Description: si:ch211-262i10.2 (ENSDARG00000092538.4)
Source: RNAcentral
UUGGUUCCCUGUCCGUUGUCUUGAAUCAAUUUCGGUUUAAUUGUACAUGAAAAGAUGUUUACGAACCACCCAAAAGACUAUCUAACGUAAACAAACACAUCAGUACUCGAGCUCACAACAGAGUCAACGUUAUGUUCCCAUGUGAAAGCAGGAGAGGCAUUGAUAAAAGAUGCAUUAAACAUCUAAGUAAAAAACAAAACAAGACAAUGAGCUUUUCCCAGGAUCAUUGAGGCAACUUCAGCUAUAGAUAACAUUUGCCAUUCAUGGGAGUAGAGGAAUGAGAGGCGAUGGGACUUAGGAAACAAAGAGGAUUGUAUGGCUGGACUGUGAAUGGAGGAGAAACGCAUGCAUGGAGCAGCAAUGGAGGAGAGACUACAGUGUAAGGUGUGUGACAUUGACCUCUGGGCUUUUGAACCUGUGACCUGCCACAAUCCCGAAGCUCAUUCAAUAGCACUAAGUGAUCAGCACCUCCAAGACAAAGACUCCAGCUGCCUGGUGUUGAAAUAUGCAUUAGACUUGAAUCGGUGGUCAACUCCUCUCUGCGCCUCAAGUCCGCCGACGUACACAUUGAGCUAACUGGAUAAACUGGUUGUGGCGGGAAAGAUCUCCACAUGGAGGCUCCCUCAAUCUCAUCCCGGCCCGGUGUUGACAUUCUCUGCCUGGUAUUGUUAAAGAAGACCCAGCCGCUCAUAUGUGACGAAGUGUAGCGCUGUCUGGGAGAAGUUCAGGAGAGGGAAGCUGUAAACAGAUCUCCAUGGGCUCCUCUGUGACCCCCGGCUCCUCACAGUGCGUUUGUUCUGGCACUUUACAAUGCUCUGGGUUUAUGGGGCCUGUGACCUGUGGACGUCCACAAGAUAAAUCCACACAGACUCUCUGGUGGCCGACCACACUAGUGUUAUUAGCGCUGGUAAUAUUUUACAGUGCUAUUUGUUAAUGCAUUGGUUACACUUUACAUUAUUAAGGUUUUAUUUGUUCACAUAUUUUUUUUACUAACAUGAAUAAACAAUGUGCAAUAUAU